UGUAUUCGAUUGUAUUCGACAUUUCGACUGUAUUCACGGCGUGAAACAGGGGAUUACACUAUUUUUAAACGAAAAGUGAAUCAAUUAACAUAAUCGACUCCU
RNAcentral lists this microRNA precursor (102 nucleotides) under Nicotiana sylvestris (wood tobacco). RNAcentral describes it as "MIR6152 microRNA precursor family". It matches the Rfam family "MIR6152 microRNA precursor family". Lineage: Eukaryota; Viridiplantae; Streptophyta; Magnoliopsida; Solanales; Solanaceae. The record is from Rfam by way of RNAcentral.